GUUCCUGUAGUUAAAUUUAUAACGGCGGCUUUUCGAGCCGCAGGUCCCAGAGAGAGGCUGGGUGGGAAUA
Molecule: transfer RNA, 70 nt
Filed under: Lagonosticta sanguinodorsalis
Lineage: Eukaryota; Metazoa; Chordata; Aves; Passeriformes; Estrildidae
Also listed under: 2 other names
Description: tRNA-Glu
Rfam family: tRNA
About the family: Transfer RNA (tRNA) molecules are approximately 80 nucleotides in length.
Source: RNAcentral